This is a long non-coding RNA of Aquila chrysaetos chrysaetos, 786 nucleotides long. RefSeq lists it as uncharacterized. Lineage: Eukaryota; Metazoa; Chordata; Aves; Accipitriformes; Accipitridae. The record is from RefSeq and is a predicted model, not a curated record. The transcript is spliced from 2 exons.
CCAGGUAUCACCUGGAAAUAAUUUACAGGUGGUGAACUUUACUCCUCGGCGUACAGAACGGAUAGCUCAUCAAACCAGCGGAGCUGGUAUAUAUAUAUAAAUUAACAGGAACUCCUAAGUACUUACCUUUUUGUUGUGAAGUGGAGACUGAAGUCCCUAGACCACCGGAAUAUUUUAGCGAGAUUCCGUAUUUAAAGCAUCGUAACCACAACCAUUGGAGUUGGGUGUUUUGUAACUGUGUAAAGUAACAUAAAAUAUUCUGCACAGUUCCUGGAGAGGAGAUGAAUCCCGUAAGGGCUUUGCAAGUGGAAAACACGCCCUUAAGAAGUACGACUGCUGCCGAGAAGAUGAGAAACCUCGCUGCUCCAGGCACCGGAGUAGGCGAAGUAGGCAGAGGCGUACGGAAAAGGACGUGUGAGUACACCGUGAGAUCAUCGGCGGGUAAUAGCGAGAAACAGACACUUCGAGAGGAAAAAUGGACUCUGAGAGCCCGACCAGGUAUGCCCUGGCAAAGAGAUAAUCGGGAAUUGACAUCGACACCUAUUGGUGUUCCUUGGGGAACCCCACCAGCAAUCCGUGUUUGGAUGAUGUUACUGUGGUAUUUGCUUGUUGGGCAUACGGUAUCUGGCAAGGUCAGCCAUCAACCCUUCAAAUGGUCACUAAUACAAUUAGAACACUCAGUUGUCAUACAAAAUAGAAUUACCCUGGGCGCUCCCUCUUUCACGGCCCACUUAAGUUCCCUAGUAAGGUCAUACCAUGGAUGGGCCCCCAUUGAUGAGAAUACUC